AAAAAGAUAAACCAUGGGUUUUUGUGCCAACGUUUGACUGCCCGUCUUAUAUAAAAUUUUUUUAUAGUUAGUAUUUUCAUUGUUGUUAGAUAAAAAAACAUAAUUAAUAUUUUAUGCGUGACUUAUCUUUUUAAUUUUUUUUUAUUAUUUUUUCAAAAUAAGACGGACGGUUAAACGUUGGACACGGAAACCAGAGAUUGUCUUUUUU
MicroRNA precursor from Oryza sativa Indica Group (long-grained rice), 208 nucleotides. It matches the Rfam family "MIR812 microRNA precursor family". NCBI's taxonomy places the organism in Eukaryota, Viridiplantae, Streptophyta, Magnoliopsida, Poales, Poaceae. The record is from Rfam.